Molecule: ribosomal RNA, 449 nt
Filed under: uncultured eukaryote
Lineage: Eukaryota
Description: SSU rRNA
Rfam family: Eukaryotic small subunit ribosomal RNA
Source: RNAcentral
CACAGGGAGGUAGUGACAAUAAAUAACAAUACAGGGCUCUCAGAGUCUUGUAAUUGGAAUGAGUACAAUUUAAAUCACUUAACGAGGAACAAUUGGAGGGCAAGUCUGGUGCCAGCAGCCGCGGUAAUUCCAGCUCCAAUAGCGUAUAUUAAAGUUGUUGCAGUUAAAAAGCUCGUAGUUGAAUUUCGGGCUCGCCGGCGUGGUCCUCCUCACGGACGGCACUACGUCGACGGGUCCCACCUUCUGGGGCUCCAGGCUGCACUUAACCGUGUGGUCUGGCGCGCCAGAUACUUUACUUUGAAAAAAUUAGAGUGUUCAAGGCAGGCUUUCGCUUGAAUACAUUAGCAUGGAAUAAUAGAAUAGGACUUUGGUUCUAUUUUGUUGGUUUAAAGGACCAAAGUAAUGAUUAAUAGGGACAGUUGGGGGCAUUAGUAUUUCAGGGCUAGAGG